Molecule: non-coding RNA, 148 nt
Filed under: Homo sapiens (human)
Lineage: Eukaryota; Metazoa; Chordata; Mammalia; Primates; Hominidae
Source: Rfam by way of RNAcentral
GCUGGGCAUGGUGAUGCAUGCCUGUAGUACCAGCUACUUGGAAGGGUGAGGUGGGAGGAUUGCUUGAGCCCGGGAGGUUGGGGCUGCAGUGAGCUGAGGUAGCACCACUGCACUCCAGCCUGGGUGACAGAGCAAGACCCUGUCUCAA